UGAAGUUUAUUAUUUUAUUGUGUCUAACAUUUUUUACUCAAUCAGUCAACUGUGUUGUGAAGAUAACAAAACAGGAAAAACAGGCUCUAGAUGUCGCUUUUAAAGAGGUUUUAAAUUGUAUCAAUGCUGACCAUACUGAUGUAUCCCAACAAAAUGCCAUAACAGUUUAUCAGUUUUUAGAAUUUGUGGGUAGCUUAACAGGUACCAGAGAUUAUGUGAUGAUGGCGGUAACCAAAUAUUUUCGUCGCAGUCUGGACGAAACAGUGCUAUAUAACCAAAUGAUAGAAGUAGAUGAAUUUGAGGGACUUGUAACAACUGUUAGUAAAACAUUAGAAAAAGAAAUAAACGAUUACGUAGGUCUUAUAAGGGAAGCAAUAUCUAUAAAACACGCUGAGGUUAUACGAUUGAAGAAUCAAAAUCUUUGUAAAACUGACAAAUGUUAAU
Long non-coding RNA from Adelges cooleyi (spruce gall adelgid), 444 nucleotides. RefSeq lists it as uncharacterized. The transcript has 3 exons. Lineage: Eukaryota; Metazoa; Arthropoda; Insecta; Hemiptera; Adelgidae. The record is from RefSeq and is a predicted model, not a curated record.